RNAcentral lists this ribosomal RNA (454 nucleotides) under uncultured Anaerolineaceae bacterium. RNAcentral describes it as "bacterial SSU rRNA". It matches the Rfam family "Bacterial small subunit ribosomal RNA", at positions 913 to 1382 of the family's 1533-position model. Lineage: Bacteria; Bacillati; Chloroflexota; Anaerolineae; Anaerolineales; Anaerolineaceae. The record is from RNAcentral.
ACGGGGACCCGCACAAGCAGCGGAGCGUGUGGUUUAAUUCGUUGCUACACGAAGAACCUUACCUGGGUUUGACAUAUAGGUUGUAGGGAACUGAAAAGGGACCGACCCUUCGGGGAGCCUAUACAGGUGUUGCAUGGCUGUCGUCAGCUCGUGUCGUGAGAUGUUCGGUUAAGUCCGCUAACGAGCGCAACCCUCGUCGUAUGUUAUAUGUGUCAUACGAGACUGCCGGUAAAAGCCGGAGGAAGGUGAGGAUGAUGUCAAGUCAGCAUGACCUUUAUAUCCAGGGCUACACACACGCUACAAUGGUCUGUACAAUGGGUAGCCAAGCCGCGAGGCGGAGCCAAUCCUGAAAGCAGGCCUCAGUUCAGAUUGCAGUCUGCAACUCGACUGCGUGAAGUCGGAAUCGCUAGUAAUCGCGGAUCAGCAUGUCGCGGUGAAUACGUUCCCGGGUCUU